UACGAAGGGUACAAGCGUUGUUCGGAAUUACUGGGCGUAAAGCGCGCGUAGGCGGACGCGUAAGUCGAUUGUGAAAGCCCUGGGCUUAACCUGGGAACUGCAGUCGAAACUGCGUGUCUUGAGUGCCUGAGAGGAUGGCGGAAUUCCCGGUGUAGUAGUGAAAUACGUAGAUAUCGGGAAGAACACCUGAGGCGAAGGCGGCUAUCUGGCGGUGCACUGACGCUGAGGCGCGAAAGCUAGGGGAGCAAACAGG
This 253-nucleotide ribosomal RNA is filed under the name uncultured bacterium. Its description in RNAcentral is "partial 16S ribosomal RNA". It matches the Rfam family "Bacterial small subunit ribosomal RNA", at positions 524 to 776 of the family's 1533-position model. The record is from RNAcentral.